UACGUAGGGGGCGAGCGUUGUCCGGAUUUAUUGGGCGUAAAGAGCUCGUAGGCGGCUUUGCAAGUCGGGUGUGAAAUCCCUCAGCUCAACUGAGGAAGUGCGCCCGAAACUGCAGAGCUUGAGUACCGGAGAGGAUGGCGGAAUUCCCGAAGUAGAGGUGAAAUUCGUAGAUAUCGGGAGGAACACCGGUGGCGAAGGCGGCCAUCUGGACGGAUACUGACGCUGAGACGCGAAAGCGUGGGGAGCAAACAGG
Molecule: ribosomal RNA, 253 nt
Filed under: uncultured bacterium
Lineage: Bacteria
Description: partial 16S ribosomal RNA
Rfam family: Bacterial small subunit ribosomal RNA
Source: RNAcentral